This 466-nucleotide ribosomal RNA is filed under the name uncultured bacterium. RNAcentral's name for it is "partial 16S ribosomal RNA". It matches the Rfam family "Bacterial small subunit ribosomal RNA", at positions 28 to 507 of the family's 1533-position model. The record is from RNAcentral.
GAUGAACGCUGGCGGCGUGCUUAACACAUGCGAGUCGAACGAUGAAGCCCAGCUUGCUGGGUGGAUUAGUGGCGAACGGGUGAGUAACACGUGAGUAACCUGCCCUUAACUCUGGGAUAAGCCUGGGAAACUGGGUCUAAUACCGGAUAGGAGCGCCUACCGCAUGGUGGGUGUUGGAAAGAUUUAUCGGUUUUGGAUGGACUCGCGGCCUAUCAGCUUGUUGGUGAGGUAAUGGCUCACCAAGGCGACGACGGGUAGCCGGCCUGAGAGGGUGACCGGCCACACUGGGACUGAGACACGGCCCAGACUCCUACGGGAGGCAGCAGUGGGGAAUAUUGCACAAUGGGCGAAAGCCUGAUGCAGCGACGCCGCGUGAGGGAUGACGGCCUUCGGGUUGUAAACCUCUUUCAGUAGGGAAGAAGCGAAAGUGACGGUACCUGCAGAAGAAGCACCGGCUAACUACGUG